GGAGAGAUGGCUGAGUGCACGAAAGCGACGGAUUGCUAAUUCGUUGUAGAUUUGUACCGAGGGUUCGAAUCCCUCUCUUUCCG
Molecule: transfer RNA, 83 nt
Filed under: Drosera capensis
Lineage: Eukaryota; Viridiplantae; Streptophyta; Magnoliopsida; Caryophyllales; Droseraceae
Description: tRNA-Ser
Rfam family: tRNA
About the family: Transfer RNA (tRNA) molecules are approximately 80 nucleotides in length.
Source: RNAcentral